RNAcentral lists this transfer RNA (74 nucleotides) under Coriobacteriia bacterium. RNAcentral's name for it is "tRNA-Gln". It matches the Rfam family "tRNA". Rfam says of the family: Transfer RNA (tRNA) molecules are approximately 80 nucleotides in length. Their secondary structure includes four short double-helical elements and three loops (D, anti-codon, and T loops). Further hydrogen bonds mediate the characteristic L-shaped molecular structure. tRNAs have two regions of fundamental functional importance: the anti-codon, which is responsible for specific mRNA codon recognition, and the 3' end, to which the tRNAs corresponding amino acid is attached (by aminoacyl-tRNA synthetases). tRNAs cope with the degeneracy of the genetic code in two manners: having more than one tRNA (with a specific anti-codon) for a particular amino acid; and 'wobble' base-pairing, i.e. permitting non-standard base-pairing at the 3rd anti-codon position. RNAcentral also lists the same sequence under 1 other name. The record is from RNAcentral. Lineage: Bacteria; Bacillati; Actinomycetota; Coriobacteriia.
UGGGGCGUAGUCUAAUGGUAGGACAGCGGGUUCUGGUCCCGUGUGUGAGGGUUCGACUCCUUCCGCCCCAGCCA